UGUUUUAGAAUUUUUUUUUUUUUUUUCCUUCCAUAAAACCAAUAUUUCGAGCAUCUAUUUAUAAGCCUCGAAGCGUUUUAAUCAGCUACGAUGACGCACUUUGAGUGCUUGACCAACCCACACAAGUGAUCGCUUUUAUGGACUGAGUCACAUGUUGCGCAACAGCUGUGAAAUAGGAGCAUAGCUUGUUUUUCAUGAUCCAAAAAUAUCAGCAGAAGACUGAAGUACGGAGGAAAGUUGAAAUGGACUGAGUUAAUCUUAUUCAGUAACGACCUAGCGCUUAGAUGACAACGGAUGGAAGAAAAGAUCUACAGCAGAGGCCAGGACCAGGGAGAAUCAAGACCAGAUGGCGAGCCAGGCAGGACCAGAGAGGAACCAGGGGAGGAUCAGAGGGCACAGAGCAGGGCGAGGAGCAGCAGUAUCCAGAGGGGGAGCCAGAGCCACAGGGCAGAGUAGCGUCAGGACAACUUUCGCCACCAGAGGGAGCUCAGCUGGUCUAGAUCAGAGCAAGCCAAAGAUGAAUGUCCCAACAGCUGCAGAGAAAGAAAGAGGGCUCACGAGCAGAGAGUAUCAGGGGUCUUCACCAUAUCAGAGUCAUGAAGGGGGCAUUUGGUUUGUAUGGGUAGAGGCGUGGCCCGUGGAAAAGUCGUCCCCAUAUCCGCUUAAAUCCAUUAGGUCUGUCCUGAGAAGCAAUCCACAUGCGAAGGGUUUUUCGGAGUUGAAGUUCCUCUGCGUCUGUCCCUACACGACACAACUACCUCUACUGCACCCCCACUGCGUCAGUCCGACAUAUGAUGCCAGGGCAGCUGCGUAUUGCCUGCCGGCCCUGGUCACAUUUAGAGGCGAUAGAACCAAAAGGGAUUCCAGGAUGUUGUGUGGACCCUUUUAGAGUCAAAUUGUUGACUGCUCUGUAACGAUUCUUACAAAGCUACAAGGAAAGCCUCUACUUUGAUGGGAUUUAGGAAGGUACCUCAUUGAAUUUAAGUCGUGUUUGGAAUUGUGAACCAUAUACUUGCAAACACAUUUUCCAGUAUUGAAUGUUGGGGAUUGUCAUGGGCAUCGGGGUGGGAG
Molecule: long non-coding RNA, 1071 nt
Organism: Cyprinus carpio (common carp)
Lineage: Eukaryota; Metazoa; Chordata; Actinopteri; Cypriniformes; Cyprinidae
Source: Ensembl